Molecule: small RNA, 100 nt
Filed under: Klebsiella quasipneumoniae subsp. similipneumoniae
Lineage: Bacteria; Pseudomonadati; Pseudomonadota; Gammaproteobacteria; Enterobacterales; Enterobacteriaceae
Description: partial RtT sRNA
Rfam family: RtT RNA
About the family: This family represents a bacterial cis-regulatory element known as RtT RNA.
Source: RNAcentral
UGCAUCUGCGGCCAGUGAGGAUGAGAAUCUCCGGGGGCAGGAGGUUCGACUCGAGCGAAGCGAGAGAACGUUGCGUCAGCAACGGCCCGCAGGGCGAGCC